ACUCCUACGGGAGGCAGCAGUGGGGAAUCUUAGACAAUGGGGGCAACCCUGAUCUAGCCAUGCCGCGUGAGUGAUGAAGGCCCUAGGGUUGUAAAGCUCUUUCAGCUGGGAAGAUAAUGACGGUACCAGCAGAAGAAGCCCCGGCUAACUCCGUGCCAGCAGCCGCGGUAAU
RNAcentral lists this ribosomal RNA (172 nucleotides) under uncultured bacterium. Its description in RNAcentral is "partial 16S ribosomal RNA". It matches the Rfam family "Bacterial small subunit ribosomal RNA", at positions 335 to 524 of the family's 1533-position model. The record is from RNAcentral.